AUCAAGCUGACGAAUCCCAAACAGGACGAAAUGCGCAUCCUGGAU
Molecule: non-coding RNA, 45 nt
Filed under: Schistosoma margrebowiei
Lineage: Eukaryota; Metazoa; Platyhelminthes; Trematoda; Strigeidida; Schistosomatidae
Source: RNAcentral